GCCUAGCCGUAAAAUUACUCACAUCAGUAAUGCGCCAGGGUAUUACGAGCGCAAGCUUAAAAUCCAAAGGAUUUGACGGUGUCCCACCCACCUAGAGGAGCCUGUUCUAUAAUCGAUGAUCCUCGAUUCACCCCACCACUUCUUGCUCUUUCAGCCUGUAUACCUCCGUCGCAAGCCUACCAUUUGAAUGUCACAAAGUAGGUCUAAUGGGCCCCUCGCCAAUACGUCAGGUCAAGGUGCAGCCCAUGAAGUGGAAAGCAAUGGGCUACAAUUUCUAAAAUAGAACAAACGAAAUACUACAUGAAAAACAGUCAUGAAGGCGGAUUUAGUAGUAAAAGAAGAAUAGCGUGCUUCUUUAAACAAGGCUCUGGGACGUGUACAAACCGCCCGUCACCCUCUUCGACAGCACACCCUCAGUUUUAUAACACUCUCAUUAGCAUCUUAGAAGAGGUAAGUCGUAACAUGGUAAGUGUACUGGAAAGUGCACUUGGUUAAUCAAAGUGUAGCUUAACUAAAGCCUCUCGCUUACACCGAAAAAACAUCUGUUAAACCCAGAUCACUUUGAGCUCAUAAUCUAGCCCACUCCCCUACUUAUACUAAACCCCACUUAACCCAAAUAUACUAAAAACAUUUUAAUUUCUCUAGUAGAGGUGAUCAAAAGACAUCUUGGCGC
This 673-nucleotide unclassified non-coding RNA is filed under the name Spinomantis elegans (elegant Madagascar frog). RNAcentral describes it as "partial contains 12S ribosomal RNA and tRNA-Val". The stretch from base 1 to 503 matches the Rfam family "Bacterial small subunit ribosomal RNA", at positions 794 to 1533 of the family's 1533-position model. The record is from RNAcentral. Lineage: Eukaryota; Metazoa; Chordata; Amphibia; Anura; Mantellidae.